GUGGAAACAUUGGUUCUCAUCUGAUCACCAAAGUUAAGCAACAUUGAGCCUGGUCGUUACCUAGAUAGGUGACCACUUGGGAAUGC
This is a non-coding RNA of Acanthosepion pharaonis, 86 nucleotides long. Lineage: Eukaryota; Metazoa; Mollusca; Cephalopoda; Sepiida; Sepiidae. The record is from the annotation of a GenBank genome assembly.